RNAcentral lists this ribosomal RNA (445 nucleotides) under uncultured bacterium. RNAcentral's name for it is "partial 16S ribosomal RNA". It matches the Rfam family "Bacterial small subunit ribosomal RNA", at positions 354 to 796 of the family's 1533-position model. The record is from RNAcentral.
GUGAGGAAUAUUGGUCAAUGGACGAGAGUCUGAACCAGCCAAGUCGCGUGAAGGAAGAAGGAUCUAUGGUUCGUAAACUUCUUUUGCAGGGGAAUAAAGUGCAGGACGUGUCCUGUUUUGUAUGUACCCUGAGAAUAAGGAUCGGCUAACUCCGUGCCAGCAGCCGCGGUAAUACGGAGGAUCCGAGCGUUAUCCGGAUUUAUUGGGUUUAAAGGGUGCGUAGGUGGUUUGAUAAGUCAGCGGUGAAAGUUUGCAGCUUAACUGUAAAAAUGCCGUGGAAACUGUCGGACUUGAGUGUAAAUGAGGUAGGCGGAAUGCGUGGUGUAGCGGUGAAAUGCAUAGAUAUCACGCAGAACUCCGAUUGCGAAGGCAGCUUACUAAGCUACAACUGACACUGAAGCACGAAAGCGUGGGGAUCAAACAGGAUUAGAUACCCUUGUAGUCC